CCUACGGGUGGCAGCAGUGAGGAAUAUUGGUCAAUGGACGCAAGUCUGAACCAGCCAUGCCGCGUGCAGGAUGACGGCUCUAUGAGUUGUAAACUGCUUUUGUACGAGGGUAAACCCCGAUACGUGUAUCGGGUUGAAAGUAUCGUACGAAUAAGCAUCGGCUAACUCCGUGCCAGCAGCCGCGGUAAUACGGGGGAUGCAAGCGUUAUCCGGAUUUAUUGGGUUUAAAGGGUGCGUAGGCUGUGAGGUAAGUCAGCGGGGAAAUGCCCCCGCUCAACGGGGUGAAGUGCCAUGGAUACUGCCUUGCUGGAAUGCGGAUGCCGUGGGAGGAAUGUGUGGUGUAGCGGUGAAAUGCAUAGAUAUCACACAGAACACCGAUUGCGAAGGCAUCUCACGAAUCCGCGAUUGACGCUGAUGCACGAAAGCGUGGGUAUCAAACAGGAUUAGAUACCCGGGUAGUC
RNAcentral lists this ribosomal RNA (461 nucleotides) under uncultured bacterium. Its description in RNAcentral is "partial 16S ribosomal RNA". It matches the Rfam family "Bacterial small subunit ribosomal RNA", at positions 338 to 795 of the family's 1533-position model. The record is from RNAcentral.